This 403-nucleotide long non-coding RNA is filed under the name Helianthus annuus (common sunflower). The record is from RNAcentral. Lineage: Eukaryota; Viridiplantae; Streptophyta; Magnoliopsida; Asterales; Asteraceae.
CCUGAGACCCGAAGAUGCCUCCUCCUUCUCCAUGAUCUAUUUAAGGUGAUUUCUAAUUGCAUGCAUACCAGGUUUUCAGGGAAGUCGUCACCACUUCUUUUCGAGCCCGAAAUCGAAAAGACCGCUAGACAGAACUUAUUGAUUCGUUCAGCUGUGCGAGGAAAAGCAUCGGUUUUAGCAAUGAAUCCUCAAGAAAACCAAUCGACUCUGAAUCAGCAAACACCCAUAACAAGACCCACUUCCUGAGAUGCCACCAAUGCCACCACCCCAUUUCACAACUGAAACCCAAACCCAAACCCAAACCGAAACUCAAACUCCACAAACUCCAACCAUAGCACCGCAAUCGAACACAACAACUCAACCAAUACAUGCUCUAACUGGAGAUUUUCACGUGAUUGGUUUA